CCGAACACCCUAAGCAACGUCUUAUUAUAACCCGAACGCCACUCACGGUCGUCGUAUUUCUGGCUCGCUUUGACGUCGCGAAGAUGACGUCACCCGGCGGAACGGCGGCGGCCGCGCUCGACUCCAUCGCUCGCUCCUUGGCCGAGAUAUGCGGCGACUGCGAUGGCGGAGGGGAUCACCGAUGGGACCCGCCGCGACGCUUUUCUGACUUCGCCCGACGGCUAGAGGCGGUCGUCCGCGGCCUCGCUGGCGCGCCGGAGCUGUUGUCCUCCCCGGCCGUCCGCACCGCCCUCGGGGGCGUUGCCGCGGAUCUCGAUGCGUCCCGUCCCACCCUCUCCGUUUACCGUGGUCGGAGCCCCAUCUACAUCCUCAUCCAUUGCGUCCCCCUCUCCGACGCUCUCCGCGGUCGCGUUGCCUCCCUCGCGGCAUGGCUUGCCCUCCUCGACUCCCCGCUAGCCUCCCUUCCGGACUUACGCAAGAAGGCCACCGACCUCUCCCGCGACAUGGACCAAACCGAUCUCAAGGUGACGGAGACCGAGGAGAGGGUUUACUCAAGCCUCCAAAGGGAAGCAAAAGAGGUGGUCCAGAGCAGCAAGGCCGUGCAAAGUGCCACCGUCAUGGACCUCGCUCGCGCCCUCGGAAUCGAUCCUGCUGAUCACGGCAAGCUCGGGGAGCAAAUCAAGCUCUUGAGAGCCGACCUCUCUGGCCUUAGCUCCUUGGCCGAGAGACGGAUCCUGAUCUCUCUUGAGAAGAUCUUGGAUGACUGGUCAAAGGAGCCCUGCAUUGCUGAUGGCUUGGUCACUGCCAACUUCGAGGAAGAAGCCCAGAUUCCGCCCUUUAAGAAUUUCCUUUGUCCCCUCACCAAGGGGGUGAUGAAGGACCCCGUGGUUCUCGAAUCGUCCCAAACAUAUGAGCGCGCAGCUAUCUGUCAUUGGUUUGAUCGCUGCUUGGAGGAUGGGCGUGACCCGACCUGCCCCGUCACAGGGAAGGUGCUCCAUUCGCUGGAACUGAGGCCCAACAUUGGACUUGCGGGUGCAAUCGAAGAGUGGGUUAAUCGCAAUGUUGAAAUCCAGAUAAACUCAGCAUUGCAGUAUCUCGCUGAAGAAUCUUCUUGCCCGGUGGAGUGCAUAUUGACGGUGCUGGAUAAUGUUUAUAGGAUCUCGGAGGAGCACCCAUCGUGCCAGUACAAGGUGAGGAAUGCAGGAAUCGUCGCUCUCGUGGUGAAGUUGCUGAAGGACCAGUCAAGUAGGAUGGGAUCGGAGUUGAGAGGCAAGACCCUAAUGGCCAUGCAUAGCAUGGCAAAAGAUGGCGAAAGCAAGCUAAUCAUGCUUGAACAAGGUAUUACUAGACUGGCAAUACGAAGCCUUACUGGGCGGUCAGAAAUGGAAAAAGAGUAUGCUUUGAAGCUAUUGCUUGAAUUCUCCAUUGAUACAGACUGUUGCACCAGAAUAGCACUGGAGAAAGGGGCUUUAGUUCUUCUCUCGAGUAUGGCUGCAAAUUCAGACCAUCCCACAUCAUCCAAUUUAGCUGAAGAAGUACUAAAAAACUUGGAAAAAGUGGAGGACAAUGUUCAGCACUUAGCCAUGGCUGGAAGGUUUCAACCAUUAGUGGCUCGGUUGUGCAAUGGCACUGUGGAUGUUAGACUGGAGAUUGCAACUCUUGUGGGAAAAAUGAGUUUAACAAACAAUGGAAAAGACUAUAUUGCUAGACAAGGAGGUCGAAUACUGAUCAAUAUGCUCUCAUCCAACCAAGAGCAGCAGGAAGCUAGUUUGCAUGCCUUGUAUAAUCUGUCAACCUUGGAUGACAAUGCUGCUAUACUAGUUGAUUUUGGAAUACUUCCAACACUUAUGGAUAUUCUUUUUGCGACACAGCAAGAUGCUCCAUCUGAGAUUAAAGAAUUGGCGGCAUCAACAGUUGCAAACAUUGUCUCCAUAUCUGGGCACUGGGAACUAUCAUUUGGCGAUAAAGAAGGACAUCAAAUACAAUCAGAAUUUAUUAUCCGAAAGCUACUGGAUGUUCUGUCUCAUUCACCUUGCAAAUGCCAGGCUGCUGUUCUUCAUAUUCUAUGUGGCAUUGCUUCUUCUCCCAGAGCAUCAGAUAUGGCAGCUUCUUGUAUUGAAAGUAGUGGUGGCCUUAAAAUUGUAGUACAGUAUAUUGAAUACUCAGAGAUUGACCAUAGAGUGAAUGCUUUUAGACUUCUAAACCUGUUAUCUGAAAAGCUGGGGCAAGUUCUUGCUGAAGAACUUAGAGCUUCUAACAAGAUUGUCUCACUCAAGGGAAAAUUGCUAGAUGCUCAUAGCUCUCUUGAGGAGAGAUGUGAAGUUGCAGGGCUACUUGCCAACCUUCCCAUCUUAGAUGAUGAAGUGAAGACAGUUCUCGGAUCCGAUCUUCUUACAUGGAUAAUUAGUCACAUUAGAGAGGAACAAUCCAUUUCUUCUGGAAGGAACUCUAAAAAGGUCAGAAGAAUGUUGGAAGGGCUUCUUGGCCUUCUAUUGCAUUAUGCAAAGACUCCCGACCCAACAAUAAUUACCCUAGUCCAAGAAAAUCAGUUCAUGAGAAUCUUUCGAGAACAACUGAACAGUCGUCCACAUAGCAGAGCAAAGCAGCGAGCUGUCCUUGGUCUGAAAUACCUUUCUGAGUUUGCAAGGGUAUCAGUAGCCACUGAUCUCUUAGAACCUCAACCACCCCGUGGACUUUGUUCUCCCUUGGUGUUAUUAUGUGGAAUGGCACCAAUGGUUCCUAUAUUAUGUCCACUACAUAAUGUUCCAUGUGACGGAAACAGCUCUUUUUGUUUACUAAAAGGAAAUGCAGUCAAGCCACUGAUUGAUCUUAUGAAUGAUGAGAAUGUAGACGUUCAGUUAGCUGCAGUGGAAGCACUUUCCACGAUUCUUUCAGAUGUUCAAAACCUUAAGAAUGCAAAAGAAGAGCUGGAACAGCUUGGACUUUUUAGAGCUGCAAUAUACCUUUUCAAAGAGGUUCGACCAGGAAAACUUCAAGAAAAAGUGGCACUGAUGGUAGAAAGGUUCUUUCAAGUUGAGGCCCUUGCUCAAGAUUAUUCAACCGAUCAAGAUCUUGUGAUGGCAUUGGUUGGAGCUAUGAAGCAUGGGAAUGCCAACACCAAGAAGCAUGCUCAGGAUGCUCUGGCCAACUUGAGAGUGUUGUCUGGUGUAGGAGGCAAACCAAGUUCAAAUCAUGGUAAAAGAAGUAACAGAUGACUCAUCCCUUCGAUGACUCAUAACUUCUUAAUAGACUGAGUGUAUUAUGGUUUGUACCAGCGAAAAUACUUUGUGAAGGAGACCCACGGAAAUGCAAACUUAUUAGAUUCUGAAUCGAUCAUGGUUUUUUGUGGAAGUUAGCUCAUUGUUGGAAACAACAGCAGGGACAGACUCUGAGGCACCAAACAUGUUCAACAUGGAGAUGUCUGAGUAAAUUUUCUCUGCUGUCAGAAUUGAUGUACACAGAAUAAUCACAUCAUCAGUUGAAACAUGAGAUUGCGAGGUGCCACUGACCCUAGUACAUCUGACCGGCAGUUGGUCAAGACAACCAUAAGAAGGUUUUCAUGCUGCUGGAUGUGUAGCCAUUUGAUUGCCAAAAUGCUGAUACUAUCACAACGAAGGGUAACAACGCCUGAGAGUGCUGAACCAUGAUCUUCACAAGAAUGCAGGAGAUUAAUUUAUGCAACAAAGAAUGUUCAAAUGGAACAUACUUGAUGGUUGGCUGUAAACAUUCUGCUCUGGAGUAAUAACAGCUAUUUCAUGAAUCUAUCUGGAAAAUUGAGGCCCUGCUGCAUGUGAUACAAAACUCUAGGAAGCACUCUCACUUUGGAGGCCAAUUGGAGCAGGCAGAUGUAUGAUUUGUUUUUGUUACAGAAGCCCUGAAACUUAUUUGUUGAUGUUUUACCUGAUCCAUUCAUAUUGUUUCAAGCUACACUGCCUGAUGUAUCAAUUGCAUAAACAAUGAAUCAGGUCAGUCACAGUUCAUCAAA
Molecule: RNA transcript, 3985 nt
Organism: Musa acuminata AAA Group (dessert banana)
Lineage: Eukaryota; Viridiplantae; Streptophyta; Magnoliopsida; Zingiberales; Musaceae
Gene name: U-box domain-containing protein 44
Exons: 6
Source: RefSeq, a predicted model, not a curated record